CAUUCCCUACGGGGCGCAGCAGUAGGGAAUCUUCCACAAUGGACGAAAGUCUGAUGGAGCAACGCCGCGUGAGUGAAGAAGGGUUUCGGCUCGUAAAGCUCUGUUGGUAGUGAAGAAAGAUAGAGGUAGUAACUGGCCUUUAUUUUACGGUAAUUACUUAGAAAGUCACGGCUAACUACGUGCCAGCAGCCGCGGUAAUACGUAGGUGGCAAGCGUUGUCCGGAUUUAUUGGGCGUAAAACG
RNAcentral lists this ribosomal RNA (242 nucleotides) under uncultured bacterium. RNAcentral's name for it is "partial 16S ribosomal RNA". It matches the Rfam family "Bacterial small subunit ribosomal RNA", at positions 333 to 567 of the family's 1533-position model. The record is from RNAcentral.